Molecule: ribosomal RNA, 456 nt
Filed under: uncultured bacterium
Lineage: Bacteria
Description: SSU rRNA
Rfam family: Bacterial small subunit ribosomal RNA
Source: RNAcentral
AGAAUGAACGCUGGCGGCAUGCCUAACACAUGCAAGUCGAACGAAGGCCCGAUUUCGGUUGGGUCCUUAGUGGCGCACGGGUGCGUAACGCGUGGGAAUCUACCCCUAGGUUCGGAAUAACAGCGAGAAAUUGCUGCUAAUACCGGAUAAUGACGUAAGUCCAAAGAUUUAUCGCCAAGGGAUGAGCCCGCGUAGGAUUAGCUAGUUGGUGUGGUAAAGGCGCACCAAGGCGACGAUCCUUAGCUGGUCUGAGAGGAUGAUCAGCCACACUGGGACUGAGACACGGCCCAGACUCCUACGGGAGGCAGCAGUGGGGAAUAUUGGACAAUGGGCGAAAGCCUGAUCCAGCAAUGCCGCGUGAGUGAUGAAGGCCUUAGGGUUGUAAGCUCUUUUACCCGGGAUGAUAAUGACAGUACCGGGAGAAUAAGCUCCGGCUAACUCCGUGCCAGCAGCCGC